GACGAACGCUGGCGGCGUGCUUAACACAUGCAAGUCGAACGGAAAGGCCCUGCUUUUGUGGGGUGCUCGAGUGGCGAACGGGUGAGUAACACGUGAGUAACCUGCCCUUGACUUUGGGAUAACUUCAGGAAACUGGGGCUAAUACCGGAUAGGAGCUCCUGCUGCAUGGUGGGGGUUGGAAAGCUUCGGCAGUUGGGGAUGGACUCGCGGCUUAUCAGCUUGUUGGUGGGGUAGUGGCUUACCAAGGCUUUGACGGGUAGCCGGCCUGAGAGGGUGACCGGCCACAUUGGGACUGAGAUACGGCCCAGACUCCUACGGGAGGCAGAAGUGGGGAAUAUUGCAAAAUGGGCGGAAGCCUGAUGCAGCAACGCCGCGUGCGGGAUGACGGCCUUCGGGUUGUAAACCGCUUUCGCCUGUGACGAAGCGUGAGUGAAGGUAAUGGGUAAAGAAGCACCGGCUAACUACGUG
RNAcentral lists this ribosomal RNA (468 nucleotides) under uncultured bacterium. RNAcentral's name for it is "partial 16S ribosomal RNA". It matches the Rfam family "Bacterial small subunit ribosomal RNA", at positions 28 to 507 of the family's 1533-position model. The record is from RNAcentral.